Molecule: ribosomal RNA, 253 nt
Filed under: uncultured bacterium
Lineage: Bacteria
Description: partial 16S ribosomal RNA
Rfam family: Bacterial small subunit ribosomal RNA
Source: RNAcentral
UACGUAGGUGGCGAGCGUUGUCCGGAUUUACUGGGCGUAAAGAGCGCGCAGGCGGUCGUUCAAGUCGGAUGUGAAAGCCCCCGGCUCAACUGGGGAGGGUCAUUCGAUACUGAUCGACUCGACGGCAGGAGAGGGAAGCGGAAUUCCCGGUGUAGUGGUGAAAUGCGUAGAUAUCGGGAGGAACACCAGUGGCGAAGGCGGCUUCCUGGCCUGUUCUUGACGCUGAGGCGCGAAAGCUAGGGGAGCAAACGGG